UGGUGAUGAGGUCAUCAGUGUGCAGUCUUGGUGAUGAGGUCAUCAGUGUGCAGUCUUGGUGAUGAGGUCAUCAGUGUGCAGUCUUGGUGAUGAGGUCAUCAGUGUGCAGUCUUGGUGAUGAGGUCAUCAGUGUUCAGUCUUGGUGAUGAGGUCAUCAGUGUGAAGUCUUGGUGAUGAGGUCAUCAGUGUGCAGUCUUGGUGAUGAGGUCAUCAGUGUGCAGUCUUGGUGAUGAGGUCAUCAGUGUGCAGUCUUGGUGAUGAGGUCAUCAGUGUGUUCAGUCUUGGUGAUGAGGUCAUCAGUGUGCAGUCCUGGUGAUGAGGUCAUCAGUGUGCAGUCUUGGUGAUGAGGUCAUCAGUGUGCAGUCUUGGUGAUGAGGUCAUCAGUGUGCAGUCUUGGUGAUGAGGUCAUCAGUGUGCAGUCUUGGUG
This is a long non-coding RNA of Clupea harengus (Atlantic herring), 427 nucleotides long. NCBI's taxonomy places the organism in Eukaryota, Metazoa, Chordata, Actinopteri, Clupeiformes, Clupeidae. The record is from Ensembl.